CAUCUUUUUGGGAAUAGAAUUUCAAUUGAGAAUGCCUUAGUGGCUCCCAAAGAACCUUUGAAAAAAAGCAAUAAUCUCAUUAUAAUUCCUUUUAAUAACAUUAGACCUUAAACUCGCAAGCUCCAGACAAGCUUUCAAAUGAAACCCAGAAGCUUUAUCCCAGACUUUUUCUCCUUUAUAACAUACAAGCAUGGUGUAGGGUGGGUGAAGGCCAUGAGAUUGAGGAAGGGGUUUGGAAUGGAUAUCGAUUGGCAGGUUUUUUAGCUCUUUUCCCUGAGUCGCUUACUUCAUUGCUUUCAAGUGGUUUCCAAAGAAGGUUAAUUCAUCUUUUUAUGCUUUUAUAUAUCUUCCCUCUUCUUUUUUUCCCUUGCCAUGAUGUUUCUCAUGUGAAAACUUUGUUCCCAUCCUUGGAUUUUUCUGAAAGAGAAGGGCUAAAGAGGCAUUGUCCUCCACUUGAGAAGCGUUUAUUUUUCUUGGUGCUACCUUUAGAAGAUUAUAGAUUGCUCGUAAAUGGCCAGCUAGCAGGGAUUGUGUAUGGAGAAGCAAUGUGAAUUAUACACGUCUUAUUGAAGUCAAAGGAGGACAAAUUGGGUGCAUGAGAAAGAUUAGCUAUAAUGGUUCCCUGGUGGUGGCACUCAUUUCAAGCAUGGAGCAGCUGAUGAACUUAAGUUUCUUAUAUCACUUAUCCACUUUUGAACUGGUUAAUUUAUCAUUUACUACAGUGGCAAUGAUACCAGUAAUUGAUGAUAUUUCCAAAACUCAAGCACUAUAAUGUUUCAUCUCCAAUGAUACAGGUUAGGAAAUAUGGUAACUAAUGAUACAUGUGAUCCAUGUUCAGCUGGGGUUGUUCAAGUUCUGGAUAUUAGCUAUGGUUUUUUGCUAGCUUCUCAUCUUAUCCUUUUCCUUUGGAUAUACAAACAAUGUUUUUUGCUCCCAAAGAUGGCCAAAAAAAUUAGAUUCAAUUUGCUUUAUAACGAGGAAUCGAUGCCAUGACUUCUGUCAUUGCCACAAAACAACUAUCAUACCCUUCUGGCUCUUUUGAGAAUGUUCAUUGUUCGAGGUGUGUUUGCUUGGGUGUUCUAUCCUGGAUUUGGAGCAAUUUAUAGGUGUUAACCUAGCUUUCCAUUCCUUACUUCUUUCAUAUGAUUUCUUUGAGAUUGCAUUUUUUUUCAGCACCGAGCUUCAAACCAUGUUCAUCUCUAAUUACUUUAGGAGUCAACCCAUUAUACUCCAGUUCAGGUCAAGUAGCUCCAAGGUAAAUUUCUAGGGGUUUUUUUUAUUAAAAAAAUCGUUUUUUUAGGUUUUUAGCCUUUUUAACUUCAUUGAUUGUUGGUUGACAUGGCUUAUGUGUUUUUUAAUGGUUAUUCGGGUUUAAUUGGUUCCUUUACUUUCUUGAACUGUAUUUGACAAGGGGAUUGUUGCCUUGUUUACAAGAAGACAUUAUUAGAUCUUUUUUGGGCUACAAGGAGAGACCAAAUUAUGGUAAAUUUACAAGACUACAAGGAGAAACUAGAUUGUGGUCGCUAUGUUGCUGUCAUCACAUAUGUAUCUUUGAGGGAGAUGAUAAAACCUGGUGCCUUCACUAUUAUAUCUCCUAUGAUUAUUAGAUGGUUAAUUGCUUGCCAUUUGAAUUUACCUCUUUUGCGUAUAUCUUUAAGGGUUAAAUGAAGUUUCCUUGACAUUUUUAUUAUUUGAAGGCCUUCUGUUUUGGAUUUUGGGGUAAUAUACAAGACAUUAUGUACUAGGGGCUAAAGUUGUGGCUUCCAUACUAAUGUUUGUGAUAGUUUCUGGUAUUCUCCUGGUUCUUUUCCUGAACAUAUCAGUUAGAUUUUGUGAAACUAUUUAGAUGUUUGGUAAAUGUUGUUGUAGUUGUGUUGUGUUUUUUACACAAAUGGUUGAUAUCCAUACCAAAUUUGCUGGAGAUAAGGAGAUUCUAGAAAAGCAAAAGAAAGAGUUUGAUGUCUAAACCAAAUAUUUCUCUCAUGUAUUGACCAUGCUUUAUUCCUUAGCAAUAUCAUUGUCAACAUCAACAACCUCCACCAUUGCUAAAUCUCUGACUCUUUCUUAUUUGUUUUUAGAAAAAAGAAAGAGAAUAUUCUCUCUAACUAUCAAAGCUUGUUGAAUGAAAGCAAAGUCUCAAUCUUUCUCAGGCACAAAGGUAGAGAGACGAAGUGUGAAUUGGAAGACAAAAAUAACAGCAACCCACAUAAGGGGUUUCUUAAAAACCUAGCAAAAUUCAUGUUUUCUCUAGGUCCUCGACAGAAACUAUUGUUUUAUGCACAUUUAUUUUGGUUUCUUGAGCUUAUUUGAGGAAUGUUUUGUUCUUAGUAAUAUGAGUUCAAUUAUGUAGGUGAUUGAUUCUGUUAGAACUUUAGAGGGAAAAGAAGUAAAAAAAAAUGGUUUUGUUUAGAAAGUUUUUCUAUAGAAAACCCCCUGAUGGGCUUUUAGAGAUCUCUAAAAGGGUUUAUGGUAUGCUUUAAAUUUUGAUUAAUUUACAAACUUUAUGGUUAAAAUUUGAUAGGUUUUGGUUCAUUUGUGAUUUGAAUUUCUUGCAUUGAUAUUGGUAGGUAAUUGAUCCUGAAAGUCUCUUUCUUUUAUGAUGAUAUCAUGAGGACUUGGUUUUGCCAUUUGGUAAACCAGAAGGAAAAAUGCAGAACACAGAUAAGAGCUUUAUGUCUAAACCAAAAAUUUCUCUCAUGUCAUGACCAUUUUAGUUUUUUACCUUUUCUUUAUGUACUUUGCAACAUGCCCUCCAUGCUAACUUUCAUAAAUAAAAAAAACAUCUUAUAUCUCACAGUUAUUCAUUCUUAUUUAGUAAGGUCAGCGCCAACCAUCUAAUAAUUUGCUUAUAUUUUGGCUAGCAAUAUGUCAUGUUGUUAAACAAAAAAUUCAGAUUUUAUGCUCUAGUGCUAUACUAGGAUUGAAGCUUUAUGGCUUUGGAAUUGACCACGAUUUCUUCUAUGAUUUAAUGCUUUGAAACAACUCCAACGGAUGAUGUCUUAUGUAUGUAUGUAUGUAUGUAUAUCUGUACAUUUUCCUUUCUGUUUGUAUACAAUAUGCUUAUUUCAUCUUUAUUAUCUCUGCAACCAAAAAUGUAGGAUUCAACCUUUGUUGCACACACGUGGUUGCUUUAUGUUUUGGGGGAAGAGAGAAAAAAUGGUUAUUGACUCUCUUCACUGAGGAUAAAUUACAGGAAAAAAAAAAGGAUUAGAAUGGGUGAGAGAUUGGGUCUGUUGAUUAAGCAUUUUCACCAUUUCGCAUUGACCCUUAGAUUUCUCAUGUGUCUAUAGAUUUGACAUGGAUUCAACAUAAGAGGUGAGAAGGUUGACUGUUAUUUUAUGAGGAAUUAUCAUAAAACAUUAGAUAAUUUUAUAAGGAAUCAUUUUAAGUCUUUUUUGUUUGUGUUAAAAAAAAAAAGAAGAUGUUCCACAGACAAGCUUUCUCACGAGCUCUUUCUUAUCGGCUCGAAAUCAAGCGAGCUCAAUGUUUCAUAUGCUAAUUGGAACAUUUUUGGUCUCUUAUUUUUAAACCAUUGCUUGUUGUUAUCGCUCUUAAAAUAAACAAUUGCUUAGCUGCAUAAUCUAAAACUCAUGUCACCAUCUUACUCCUCUACCCAGGAAUCAGCCUCACGGCUUCUUUUUAAAAAGAACACAUCAGCCAUGUUAUUCUUUAACAUUUUCUAUUUCCAUUCUUAAGUCAUAAGAUGUUGCCUAACUACAUUUUUUCUCCAUGUAGUAGCGUUAGGGAAGGCCAGUCGCUCCUCCCAUCCGAGGAGGAUCUAACAGAAGAGCAUAUUUCGCCAUCGAGACUAGAAGAGGCAACGCCUGCUGCAAAGUGCCAAUGGACAUUCCCACCUUCCAGCACACAUGUUAUUUAACUUUUUAAGACUCCAUCUGCACUUUAUAAAUCGUGAUUUGCUGUUGUUUUCUGGCUCCUUUUCAUGCUUAAGUAGGGCUUAGCUACUGUAAAAAUAUGUGAUAGUCCUGUUUAGAACAAUUUUGCAUUUUCAUUCAAAUCUUGCCAUUUGCACCUAAUAAACCUGAUCAUUUUUUUUCUAUAAUGUGAUUGCAUGUUUAGUGCUAACAUCCUUAUUGACAUUCCACAAGGCCACUUUCAUAUUUUCGUUUGAGAAAAUAAUUUUUGCUAACUCUUUUUCAUGAGAAUAAAAUUAGCUGUGGCCAUUGUUUUACCCUGCAUUUAAGUUAGUUCGAGAAACAAGCAUGGUUAUCGCAUAUUACUUUGUUUGCUUUUUUAAAAAAAAAAAUUGGUGAUAAAAAUAUGUUGUGUAAAAACAUGCUUAGCCAGUUGCGUAGUCUCACACCAAGUUGGUUGCUUUCUUACAUGAUGCAUUUUCGUUGUUGUUUCAUUCAUUUUGAUUUCAAGUCUGCAUGCUAUCAUUACUCCUGCCAGUUUCUUUUCACUGCUGCAACAACCAUGGUUGAGUUAGGACUUCUGUUUAUGCAUGCUGUCAACAUUAUCUACACGAGGAUAUAUUGUUUUCAUAGUCAUAUGUUUUUUUUUUUUUUGUGCUUUUCUUUUCCAGGUUAUCAUGAUGUUGCUUGCUUUGUUUCCUCCAGUUAUUUUCUUUCCAGACUCUUAAUUUGGUAUUUGGUUAUAGGAACAGUCAACAAGCGGUCAUAGCUCUACAAAUUAAUACAUCUUCGUGGAGGUUUACUAGCCCUUUCUUGCUCUUCUCCAAGAUCCUUGGCCAAGGCCUCUUCUGCAGAUUUAGAAGAAGGAUGUGCACAACGACAACUUCAUUGUCUGUUCCUUUUCUUCCUUUCACUAGCAAGACUUGCGAGGCACGCUAAGGAAAUGCUAUGUUGUUUAACACCCACUACUGCUGCUUCUAGAACUGUGAUCUUCCUAAAACCAAUGUAUGUUCUGUGCAUUUACUGCUCGUUUCGGCCUUUUUCUUGCAAUGUUUGUCAUAUCAACGCAUUUUUAAUUGACUUCUUCUCUUUCGUUCCAA
Molecule: long non-coding RNA, 4972 nt
Organism: Populus nigra (black poplar)
Lineage: Eukaryota; Viridiplantae; Streptophyta; Magnoliopsida; Malpighiales; Salicaceae
Exons: 2
Source: RefSeq, a predicted model, not a curated record